CGCUGCCUGGGCCGCCAUGGCGGGCCCCGGGAUGGCGGCGGGAGGGAUGGGGGCCCGCGCCCGCAGCGCCCUGUUGACGGGGCCGGGGGCUUCAUCGCUGCGAGCUCCCCGCCGGGAGGGGAUGCACGGAGGGCCCUCGAGGCCCUCGGUCGUGUGUAAAAGGGGAAGGAGGCAGGCCCAGGGCUGCUGCCGGGAGUGCCUUGUUGUGUGCGCUGUGCCUUGACUUCAUCUAAUCCAAUGGCAAAAUCCAAGCAGUAAGGACCUUCUGCAUGUAAUCUGCUUCUAGCCUUGCAAAGGUUGGUCUGUGUAUGGUCCUGGUUAAUCCCAGCACCUGGAAGCCUCUGCGGAAUCAGGACCUGGUGUGUUAUCUGGCAUGAAAUGCAAACAAAGGGUUGUAAUUAAAAGCACAUUAGGCAGAAGGUUCAUGUCGAAGCAGACAUGAAGAUAUAAUGGAACCUUAGCAAGUGAAUGAAUGCUCUA
Molecule: long non-coding RNA, 480 nt
Organism: Oxyura jamaicensis (ruddy duck)
Lineage: Eukaryota; Metazoa; Chordata; Aves; Anseriformes; Anatidae
Exons: 2
Source: RefSeq, a predicted model, not a curated record